GUAGGUGGCAAGCGUUGUCCGGAAUUAUUGGGCGUAAAGCGCGCGCAGGUGGUUCUUUAAGUCUGAUGUGAGAGCCCCCGGCUCAACCGGGGAGGGUCAUUGGAAACGGGGGAACUUGAGUGCAGGAGAGGAAAGUGGAAUUCCACGUGUAGCGGUGAAAUGCGUAGAUAUGUGGAGGAACACCAGUGGCGAAGGCGACUUUCUGGCCUGUAACUGACACUGAGGCGCGAAAGCGUGGGGAGCAAACAGGGAUUAGAUACCCUGGUAGUCCACGCCGUAAACGAUGAGUGCUAAGUGUUGGGGGGGUUUCCCGCCCCUCAGUGCUGCAGCUAACGCAUUAAGCACUCCGCCUGGGGAGUACGGUCGCAAGACUG
Molecule: ribosomal RNA, 374 nt
Filed under: uncultured organism
Description: partial 16S ribosomal RNA
Rfam family: Bacterial small subunit ribosomal RNA
Source: RNAcentral